This 74-nucleotide transfer RNA is filed under the name Thermodesulfobacteriota bacterium. RNAcentral describes it as "tRNA-Arg". It matches the Rfam family "tRNA". From Rfam's summary of the family: Transfer RNA (tRNA) molecules are approximately 80 nucleotides in length. Their secondary structure includes four short double-helical elements and three loops (D, anti-codon, and T loops). Lineage: Bacteria; Pseudomonadati; Thermodesulfobacteriota. The record is from RNAcentral. RNAcentral also lists the same sequence under 1 other name.
GGGCGAUUAGCUCAGGUGGACAGAGCACAAGCCUCCGGAGCUUGGGGUCGGGGGUUCGAGUCCCCCAUCGCCCU